Molecule: ribosomal RNA, 390 nt
Filed under: Dactyloptena orientalis (oriental flying gurnard)
Lineage: Eukaryota; Metazoa; Chordata; Actinopteri; Syngnathiformes; Dactylopteridae
Description: partial 16S ribosomal RNA
Rfam family: Bacterial large subunit ribosomal RNA
Source: RNAcentral
UAAUCACUCGUCUCUUAAAUGGAGACCUGUAUGAAUGGCUUAACGAGGGCUUAACUGUCUCCUCUUUCAAAUCAAUGAAAUUGAUCUCCCCGUGCAGAAGCGGGGAUAGACCCAUAAGACGAGAAGACCCUGUGGAGCUUCAGACACAAAGCAAAAUCACGUUAAGAACUUCAAUAUAAAGAAUAAAACUUUGUGAACGCACUUGCCCGAAUGUCUUUGGUUGGGGCGACCGCGGGGUAAAAAACAACCCCCAAGAGGACAGGGAACAAAACUCCUACAAGCUAGAGCCGCAGCUCUAAUUAACAGAACUUCUGACCACACGAUCCGGCAAUGCCGAUCAACGGACCGAGUUACCCCAGGGAUAACAGCGCAAUCCCCUUUUAGAGACCC